Molecule: transfer RNA, 72 nt
Filed under: Bos taurus (domestic cattle)
Lineage: Eukaryota; Metazoa; Chordata; Mammalia; Artiodactyla; Bovidae
Rfam family: tRNA
About the family: Transfer RNA (tRNA) molecules are approximately 80 nucleotides in length. Their secondary structure includes four short double-helical elements and three loops (D, anti-codon, and T loops).
Source: Rfam by way of RNAcentral
UCCCUGGUGGCUCAGCUGGCAAAGAAUCUGCCUGAAAUGUGGGAAGCCUAGGUUUGAUCCCUAGCUUGGGAA